AAAUUUUCCGGGAAAAAUAAAAUCUGGAAAGGUAAAGAGAGAGUUUCGAUUAGGUUUUCGUGUUUUAUGUUCUGGCCCUCACUGUCUGUGAGAAAGAAAAAGAAAAAAAAAAAAAAAUUAACGUCGACCCAUUCGGGGAAAGAGAAAUAGAAACGGAACGGAGACGAUCUCAAAGCCUCAGCGCAUCAAAGGAACAAAGUAAAAAAUAUCAUUCUAUG
This 218-nucleotide unclassified non-coding RNA is filed under the name Hevea brasiliensis (rubber tree). The record is from RNAcentral. Lineage: Eukaryota; Viridiplantae; Streptophyta; Magnoliopsida; Malpighiales; Euphorbiaceae.